UACGUAGGGUGCGAGCGUUAAUCGGAAUUACUGGGCGUAAAGCGUGCGCAGGCGGUUUGGUAAGUCAGAUGUGAAAUCCCCGGGCUCAACCUGGGAACUGCAUUUGAGACUGCCCGGCUAGAGUGUGUCAGAGGGGGGUAGAAUUCCACGUGUAGCAGUGAAAUGCGUAGAGAUGUGGAGGAAUACCGAUGGCGAAGGCAGCCCCCUGGGAUAACACUGACGCUCAGGCACGAAAGCGUGGGGAGCAAACAGG
RNAcentral lists this ribosomal RNA (253 nucleotides) under uncultured bacterium. RNAcentral describes it as "partial 16S ribosomal RNA". It matches the Rfam family "Bacterial small subunit ribosomal RNA", at positions 524 to 776 of the family's 1533-position model. The record is from RNAcentral.